GUGAUUCUGUGAUGGGAGAAUGGUAGCUAGAAGUCGAAGCCUUGUCCAUGGAGUUGAAUACUUUUAACUAUGUGGUCCUUAAGUAAUUUACAAUUUUGAAUUUUUAGAUUAAGUGGGUUUGCAAUGAAUUUAUCUCAAUUAUCAAUUGAGCGGCAUUAAGAGAAUUAAUCAAUUUCCAAGACUGACUUCUUAGUAUUUUGUUGCUGUGAAAUUCUGCAACUAGUGUUUGUUUCUUGAGAAAAAUAAAGGAAAAUAAGAAACGAAGGAUAAUUCAGAGAGAGAAGAAGUAUCUAGAGAAGGGAAGAGAAGAGGGUGAGUUUCAUCAAAUUUCUGUAUUGAUUAACAUCCAAUUGCAAGUAAUGUACAAGGUUCAAGUUUUAGAUUAAGUGGGUUUGUAUUGAAUUGUUCUGAGUUAUCAGUAGAGCAGCAGUAAGAGAAACUUCCAAGACUGAUUUCUUCUUAGUAUUGUGUUGCAAUGAAAUUCUGCAACUAGUUUUGGUUUCUUGAGAAAAUAAAGGAUAAUGAGAAAAGAAGGAGAAUUCAGAGAGAGAAGUAUCUGGAAAAGACAAGAGAGCGAGUCUCAUCAUAUUCACAACUGAUUAACAUCCUGAAUCACAUCACUAUAUCUUGAAGUGAACUAACUCUAGCUGAGCUCUAACUAAUUAAUUGACUAACAGCCCCUUUUAACCUUCUACAGCUGUUCCUGCCAUAAUUUCUUCUUGCUUAUUCCUCCUUGAAGCUUCCUUAUUCUUCUCUACAUCAUAUUGAGAACCCGGUAAAUGCCCCAUAUUUAGUUCAGUCCUCAUAGAGUAGCUAUUCCAAUAUGGCGAAUAAAUCCAUCCACCAAUCCGCAUGGUGAUCAUGCAAAAUCUCUCCAGAAGCUGCUCUCUUAGAUGGUCUUUUCGAAGCACCGGAAGGGGAGGAUCCCAUCCUUUGAGCUUUUGUUGUUUACUAUAAUGCGGACCAGUGGAAGAUCCCUCGACUUCAAAAGCCUUAAAAUUGGACCUUGUGAAGGUUGC
This 1019-nucleotide unclassified non-coding RNA is filed under the name Hevea brasiliensis (rubber tree). Lineage: Eukaryota; Viridiplantae; Streptophyta; Magnoliopsida; Malpighiales; Euphorbiaceae. The record is from RNAcentral.